GACGAACGCUGGCGGCGUGCUUAACACAUGCAAGUCGAACGGGGAUAUGUUUGAUGAGAGCUUCGGCAGGAAUCGGAUAUAUUCCAGUGGCGGACGGGUGAGUAACGCGUGAGCAACCUGUCCCAGACAGGGGGAUAACACUUGGAAACAGGUGCUAAUACCGCAUGAGACCACAGCAUCACAUGGUGCAGGGGUAAAAGGUGCAAACCGGUUUGGGGUGGGCUCGCGUCCGAUUAGAUAGUUGGUGAGGUAACGGCCCACCAAGUCGACGAUCGGUAGCCGACCUGAGAGGGUGAUCGGCCACAUUGGAACUGAGAGACGGUCCAA
This 327-nucleotide ribosomal RNA is filed under the name uncultured bacterium. RNAcentral describes it as "bacterial SSU rRNA". It matches the Rfam family "Bacterial small subunit ribosomal RNA", at positions 28 to 334 of the family's 1533-position model. The record is from RNAcentral.